GUAGGUGGCAAGCGUUGUCCGGAAUUAUUGGGCGUAAAGCGCGCGCAGGUGGGUUCUUUAAGUCUGAUGUGAAAGCCCCCGGGCUCAACCCGGGGAGGGUCAUUGGAAACUGGGGAACUUGAGUGCAGGAGAGGAAAGUGGAAUUCCACGUGUAGCGGUGAAAUGCGUAGAUAUGUGGAGGAACACCAGUGGCGAAGGCGACUUUCUGGCCUGUAACUGACACUGAGGCGCGAAAGCGUGGGGAGCAAACAGGAUUAGAUACCCUGGUAGUCCACGCCGUAAACGAUGAGUGCUAAGUGUUGGGGGGUUUCCGCCCCUCAGUGCUGCAGCUAACGCAUUAAGCACUCCGCCUGGGGAGUACGGUCGCAAGACUG
This 374-nucleotide ribosomal RNA is filed under the name uncultured organism. Its description in RNAcentral is "partial 16S ribosomal RNA". It matches the Rfam family "Bacterial small subunit ribosomal RNA", at positions 527 to 896 of the family's 1533-position model. The record is from RNAcentral.